GGGAUGGGCCUGCGUCUGAUUAGUUUGUUGGUGGGGUAACGGCCUACCAAGACUACGAUCAGUAGCCGACCUGAGAGGGUGAUCGGCCACAUUGGAACUGAGACACGGUCCAAACUCCUACGGGAGGCAGCAGUGGGGAAUAUUGCACAAUGGGCGAAAGCCUGAUGCAGCAACGCCGCGUGAGCGAUGAAGGCCUCUGGGUCGUAAAGCUCUGUCCUUGGGGAAGAAAAAAAUGACGGUACCCAAGGAGGAAGCCCCGGCUAACUACGUGCCAGCAGCCGCGGUAAUACGUAGGGGGCAAGCGUUAUCCGGAAUUAUUGGGCGUAAAGAGUACGUAGGUGGUCUUUUAAGCGCAGGGUUUAAGGCAAUGGCUUAACCAUUGUUCGCCCUGUGAACUGGAAGACUUGAGUGUAGGAGAGGAAAGUGGAAUUCCUAGUGUAGCGGUGAAAUGCGUAGAUAUUAGGAGGAACAUCAGUGGCGAAGGCGACUUUCUGGACUAUUACUGACACUGAGGUACGAAAGCGUGGGGAGCAAACAGGAUUAGAUACCCUGGUAGUCCACGCCGUAAACGAUGAGCACUAGGUGUCGGGGUCGCAAGAUUUCGGUGCCGUAGUUAACGCA
RNAcentral lists this ribosomal RNA (621 nucleotides) under uncultured bacterium. RNAcentral's name for it is "bacterial SSU rRNA". It matches the Rfam family "Bacterial small subunit ribosomal RNA", at positions 222 to 859 of the family's 1533-position model. The record is from RNAcentral.